GACGAACGCUGGCGGCGUGCUUAACACAUGCAAGUCGAACGGAAAGGCCCUGCUUUUGUGGGUUGCUCGAGUGGCGAACGGGUGAGUAACACGUGAGUAACCUGCCCUUGACUUUGGGAUAACUUCAGGGAACUGGGGCUAACACCGGAUAGGAGCUCCUGCUGCAUGGUGGGGGUUGGAGAGUUUCGGCGGUUGGGGAUGGACUCGCGGGUUAUCAGCUUGUUGGUGAGGUAGUGGCUUACCAAGGGUUUGACGGGUAGCCGGCCUGAGAGGGUUACCGGCGACAUGGGGACUGAGAGACGGACCAGAAGGGUACGGGAGGCAGCAGGGGGGAAUAUUGCGCAAUGGGCGGAAGCGUGAUGCAGAAACGUCGCGUGCGGGAUGACGGCCUACGGGUUGUGAACAGAUGUCGCAUGUGACGAAGCGGGAGUGACGGUAAUGGGUAAAGAAGCACCGGCUAACUACGUG
RNAcentral lists this ribosomal RNA (468 nucleotides) under uncultured bacterium. RNAcentral describes it as "partial 16S ribosomal RNA". It matches the Rfam family "Bacterial small subunit ribosomal RNA", at positions 28 to 507 of the family's 1533-position model. The record is from RNAcentral.